UUUAGAGAUUGUUUCAGGCAUUACAUUUUGUUCAAAGACUAUGAAGACAGUUUUUUUUUCCAAUCCCAGUAACAUAUACUUGCUAUAAUAAAACCAUAAAGCUGAAUUCAAAGAUAUCAGCUUUCAUUUCAUGUUGAUUUUUCUUGCUCUAAAGAUUGAUAAUGUCUAGAUCUCACACUAUCCUAGAGUUUCGCUCACUGAUGUUAUGUCAUCAGAAGACAUGCAGCUACCCUGAGGGUGAAUAAAGAGACAACGACAUGAAUGGUAGGAGGUAAAAAAAAGAGGCAACGAGCGAGAAGAAGCUAAUGCAUGGCGUACACUGCACGUGAGUUUCAUGCUGAUGGUUCCCUAGGCUUUAAUAACACAUACACACGCAGACACACACACAUUUUCCUCUAGCACACCUUGUCCUCAGCAAAGUCUUCAUCAGGGUUGUUAUAUUUAUGUUCUCUGAAUGGACAUCGUGUAGCGAAGUAAUCAGACUCGAUCAGAUGACCAGCCCCCAAGCCGAGGCACAGACAGAAAAGAGAGAGAGAAGAAUGAGAGAGAGAGAUGGAAACGCAGGGAGAUGAGAGAAGAGGGAAGGGAGGGAGGUGGAUCUCGGAGGUGAGGAUUGUGCCUUACUUGACUGAGCUUGUCUUUGUGAGGAUACAAUUGUUACUGUUUUAACUCUUUGUAAAGGUCUAUUUUGUGUGUCGUUUCACAGAAACGUGUUGCUCAAUAGUGUGUCUGUCUUCAAUGAAGAAACACUGAAAUAACAAGUUUCACCAGUUUCAGAUCACUAACAGCGUUGACUGCAUUAUAUAGAGACACAGACGAUUUGCUCCUCGAGUCGAGACAUGGAGAGGACAGAGAAUAAAGAGUCCACCAUCUCCCCACAAAAACAAACAGUGAAAAACAGAUCCAAGUCAACUGAAGAAGUGCAGCAAGCCAAAAAGGCCUUUCAUACACCACAAAAAUCUCUGCCGGCCAAACCAGAGACCGAACAACUAGAGGAGACGGCAGAACUGAGUGCCUCAUCACAGGAGUUUAAAUGAUUGCCGGAUUCAAACUUCUGAGCGCUGAGAUUUAGAGAGAUCGACUGGGAUUAUGGGUCAAAAACAAGAGGAUGAUUCAAUGUCUUUAUUCAUGGAUUUGUGAUUCCGUUUAGCUAGCAUAGUAGAAAAGGAAUAAAAUAAUUAUGUGUAACUUCUUGACUUUGUAUUAGUAUUAUGUUAGUGAAAUAAAUGCAGAACUAGAUAUAACACAGUACAUUGUUUGUUUGUGUGUGUGUGUGUGUGUGUGUGUACUUAAUUUUAUUGAGGUAAUCCUAGGCAUUCAGUAGAGUUAAAUUACAUUAAAAUAUGUAAAAACUAUUUAAAUGACUACAUUUGUAAU
RNAcentral lists this long non-coding RNA (1377 nucleotides) under Danio rerio (zebrafish). Its description in RNAcentral is "zgc:194629 (ENSDARG00000117308.1)". Lineage: Eukaryota; Metazoa; Chordata; Actinopteri; Cypriniformes; Danionidae. The record is from RNAcentral.